UGUACUGAAUAAACCAUGUCUGUUCUUUCAUUUAGAAAUCUUCUGAAAGGACAGGCAAAUAAUUGUAACACAAAAGUUCUGAAAGUGAGAAACACAAGUCGAUGAUGUUCAGAUUUUUACAACUUGUAAGUUAUUUAAAAAAAACAUCAGAUCAAACACACAGUUACAUCAUUUCCCUUUCUACCAGCACAAGAGUCUUCCAUAUUCUCAGCAAAUGUAAUACAGUAAGGGAGAAACGUAAGAAAUUUAAAAAAUGAAUGAGAACUAUGGGGAGAGGGAAGUUAGAAAGACAUGGCCUUGAAUAAUGAGGCAAUGCAGAGAAGGUUAAUAUUCUAUGAAAUUACUUACCUUUAUCUGCAAAGGUAAACUGUAGUCUGAAGUUUACUGGUUUUCAGUCUGGGAAUAACUUCUUUAUAUUUCCUCAACUUAGAGGAAACAGUGGUACUUGCAGCAAUGCUAAAAAAGUAGGCUUAGUGAGUGGGUUUAAUUUUAAGUAUCAGGGAGGAAACAAGUCACCAAGCAGGCCUUAGACUGGAAAUGGGAAUUUUAAUCUUUCAUUUUUCCUGCUGUAGCUCACAGAAAACAGUGCAGACUGGCUACAGAAGAAUCAUGCCAAAGAACAUACGAGGGCUCAUUUUAUGAGAUCAGUUUUGGAGUUGCAAUUCUAAGCUGGUAGAAGGUUUGCAAAGUACUUGAAAAACUUGACCCUUCUCCAGACUCCCCCGCAUGAGUCACCCAACCCUCCUUCAGUCAUUAGACUGCACUUCCUGCUGGGAUCCAGCAAUAAAACAAACGAGAGACACUGGUUCUGGUCAUGGUGAGGGAAAUUCUCCUGGUAUUUUAGUUCCAAACUUGCCUACUAUUACAGUAACUGUGCUAAGAGAACUGCUGUCUCCAUAAACUCCUUGGGUUCAUUCCACAGUGUACACAGGAGACACAACCCCUUUAAACUUCAAGGAGAUCCCAUUGCAGUGUAGAAGAGAAAAAUUCAGAGAUUAUGGAAUAAUCAUCUCCAAAUCGAUCAAUUUCCCCCUGAAGGUAAAAAACUGAAAGAAAGAAAAAAGUUGAACAGUUCCAGCUUGCCUUCUUGAAGGGAAAGUACCCCCAGGGCAUGUUGUAGAAUGAUCCCCAUCUCUUUCUCCUGAUGCUUAUUAAGAGGUCAUAGAUCUCAGUUACACUACAGCAUUCCCAAAUGAUAUCUCUAGCUAAGGACUAUGACCUCUUAGUACAAGUACAGGGAUAUAAAAUUAGGAAUAUUAAGGGUUCAUACUAAGAAAAAGUCUGCCUCAACUACCAGUCAUUUUGGAAAAACAGUUGGAAUUAAUGGCAUAUCUCAUGUCUUGUAAAAAACAGAGGAGUUCUAGCAAAAGGCACUGCAGGUUUCAGUGUUUCACAUAGGUGCAGCGCCUUGUGUCAGGGCUAAAUUUCUAUUUCAACAUCAAAGUGGAUUUCCACAACAGAAUAUUCAAUACAAAAGGUGUUUUUCUCAAAAAGCACAAGGUAUGGCUCAGAACACGCUGGGUGAAUUAAGAUGUGCUUUCUCUUUGUCUUAACGCUAUUCCCUCUAACAGCCAGAGUAUGCAAGCAGAAGUGAUUACUCAGGUCAUUACACCAAGACCAGGCAGGGCCUGGAAUGUCUUAAAGGACCUUUCCACUGCAACAAUUCAUUUUCUGACAUGGGGGAUUUUGUUUUGUUUUCAUAAAAAGCUGGUUUAUUACACCAUCUAGAUGAUGCCUGAGAGGAUAAACUGAGUCCAUAUAGGUGGUAUGUUAGUGAACUACCACACCACCUGGAAACCUUAACACUCUACAGCUGAUUGUAUAAACAUAAAUUAAGGUUCUUCUGCAACUGUAUUAAGCAAAGUGUUACAGAGCUGUGGGGCAUUUUGUUACAUUUGGCUUUCAAGCUAUGAAUUUAACUGCUGAACAUAUAAGUAAUGAUAAUCUGUUGUACCUCCCAUUCUGUUCAUUUCUGAAUGGUAAUUAAAGCAAGCACCAAUAAUAAAACCAGCAAGUAUUUCAAGAAAAUUAUUUUAGAAGGUGCAGGAAAUUCACCACUUAAAAAGACUAGUUUGUAAUGGCAACAAGAGCCAUUUUGUAAUACACCUACAAUAUGAUAUAAAUAUUCCAGUAAAAUAGAAGCAUGGAAUAAACAACAGGUAUUUUACUCUGCAGUAGCCGAUUCUCUAAAACGCUGUACUGAAUACAUACCAUAGGUGUGUACAUGUUUAUACAUGCAAGACAAUCAUUACUUUAUUUUUAAUGGUGUGCCUCCUCUUCGAAUCAUACACAUGAAUUCCCACUGUACUGGGUAAAGGUCAGGGUAGCUCUGACCCUGUAUCAGCAGCAGCUUUACAAUUCAAAGUCUAUAUUACUGAAGACUGUGAAAAGCAAGACAAGCUUGGCCACAGGAUCCAUAUGGACUACAAGAGUAAUUGGAAGCAGCAUAGUUAUCAUAGGGUAAGUAAUGACUAGUUUUCCUUCUUCACAUAUGUGCCAGUGCUGAUGAUUCCCCCUGCCCCCUCCUUUCUCUCCCCUGCAGGCAACCAUCUUCCUUGGACAAUAAGAAUUCUGAAUUUCAGCUGCAUAGAUCAAAUAGUGAUUAUAGUACUGCUCUCCCAAUACUGGAAUGAGCUCUGGCAGUUCCAUCCUCCACAGAAUGCCUGAUAAAGGUCAGUGGAUUACCUCAUGUCAUCACCUGGCAGAUAUCAGAAAUUGGAACCUCUUCUGAAACAGGAGGGAGAUGUCACUCGAGCAUUGGGAGAGCAAAGUUAAUAUUCAAUGGGAAAGUCGCAGCAGCCAAACGGUAACAGAGAGGUACCCUGUACUGCCCAUUUGGAAUUGCUCUGUGAGGAAACGGCUUGACCUUUAGAACACCCAGCAGUGGCUAUAAAUAAAUGGAACAACAGACUAUCAAUGUAGUAAAGCAAAGUUCUGGAUUUAGCUAGGGCAGAUUUUUAACAGAAUACCAGGGAGGCAUUUGAACUAAGUCUGAAAAAACUAGGGAGCUGUAUGGGUAAGUCAGUGCUUAGAAACAGGGAUGAUGAUGUAGAACUAACUUGACAACCACAAAAUGCCAAAGCCCAAAUGUUAUCAUGGCCCCUCCCAGAGCCUAAUGCUAUUGCACACACCCACAAUGGCAUGUUAGGCAUGCCCAAUUGAUGCUUUCACAGUCCUGUCAAAAAAGCACCAGGUAGACAUGUCCUCUGGUAUAGCUUAGGACUGUGACCAUAAGUCCUACUGCUGCACAUAAUUUGGGUAGAAGAGACUGAAGUAAAGCAUACUGUUUACAUAAACCUCUGAGGUACUCAGAUUCUGGGUGACAGGCACAAGGGGUCUUUUAAACCUGCAAAACAGUGUGCUGUCCUCACUAUUAAUUCCUCAUCUACACUGAAAGAGUGUUCACUUUAGAAGCUUUGAGCAGAAGUGAUUAAAAGCAUGGUUCGUAUGUGUGAUGCCCGAGUCCUGGGAUGAUUUGAUUCAUGUUCCAGACAGGAAUAUAUAGCUCGCUUGUAUAACACUACUUUGGCCAAACUCUGCUGCCAUACACCACUUGCCCAGUAAGGCAUGGAUUGCUGCAAAAUGCGUCCUAAGAGCCACAGACAUGAUGCUAGACUAUUUAAAUGUAGAAGACAGUUGAAAGGCAGUUACACCAAUAACUACACCUGGUAACAGCUGCAUUGGGUCUGCCUACACAAAACCCAUUUGCCAACUAUAGUCUCCAGUUGAGUGGUUUCUGCGGCAGACCAGCACUUCCUGGGCCAAGAAGGAGGUGUCUCUGUCCAUGGUACUCAGUGAGGAAACUGCUUCCUCGUGAGUGGCACUGACACCAGCUUUGAUCCAGUAUCUUCCCAAUCACAUUCGGAGUUCAUGUUCACAUGGUUGUAAAGUCCUUGGUAGACAUAUACAGUAAAUAAGCCAACCAAACCUAUCCUUGCUAGUAUGUGCUAAAAGAAUCACCUGCCUUUUUUAGUGGUGGAAAAUCAGGCUAAAAAAAAAAAAGGAGGACAAUAGGAAGCAAAAAUUAAACGGGGAGAGGGGAAAAGACAAAUGAAAGAUAUACAGGAAGCACUCAGCCCCUUGGAAAACACCACUUGCUUCCUCUCCCACCUCCAAACAGAACAAAAGUUCUCAAGAGUUCCGGCAUUUACAAUUUAUGCUCAUGAACAGGUUUAUUACAGGGCUUUCCCAAGUCAAGAAUAACAGUUCCAUGAUACAACCAUCAGCUGCUUUCACUUGCAAAAGGUUACUGACAGACAACUCAGGAAGUGCAACAGGCUGCUUUUAAAACACUCAAGAGGAGAAGAUCUACUGGUUUUAUGACUGAUUAACAAUCUCAACAGCAGAGACUAAUGGUUUCCAAGCAAAAUGGGGAGGAGUUUAUGCCUCCUUGCCCAUGUUGGCUGUUCAUUAUGGACCUACUGUCUCUCAAGGUAAGCACAGGGUUUCGAAGAACAGCUAUGCAGCCUACUUUCACAGCUUUCAGCUCUAGCAUAUAAAAGUUCCCUCCAUACUUGAGCAGUACCAAGCUAGCUAGUAUUUAUACAGAAUUUUGAUAUGAAAAUCUAAGAACACAAUUAUCAAGACCUUCAUCAUCCUCCCUAGGAGCAUGAAGUUUUGCAUACAAAGUUCUGUAUGGCAGAUUCUCCGAAUUGCUAUGACUUUAGCAGGCCUUGGCCAUUCUGUUAUGCAUGUAAAGGCUUCACACUGCUCUCUGAAUUCAAAUUUAUGAUUUUUGGAGACAAAGGUUGUAGUUACCACCUUGUUCUCCCUUUUCCCCAGGUAUCAAAGAUUUGAAGUUGCAGAUAUGGGUCCUGGACCACAUUAUUCUGCAAGGAUGUAAUUCCAUAACAUGCAAACUCAAAGAAGCAUCACUGAACUACCAUGUGUGUUGGCUGGCACAGGAAACUGGAGGAGAGGGUCUGCUUUCCACUCUAUCAGUCAAAUAGAACAUCAUUUUGUAGAUAAGUCAAAAGUUUGUGGUCCAAAGCAAAUGGAGAAGUAGAAGCAGUAGUACAACUGGGAAGCCCUCUAAGGAAAAAAAGAGACCUAAGCUCAAGUCCCAAGCCCAAGCACUGUUUGUCUUUCAUUCAAUAACUGUUUAAUGUAAAAUCCAUAUGCAGUCCUUGGUGCAGGAAUUCUCAAAAGAAACAGGGUGACUCUCUCAAGUGAAGUAACUGUACUUGGCAAAUAGUGCUUGGCAGUGUGCCACUAACUGCAAUGAGGCAGAUGAAUAUGCUUUUGGUGCAUCACAGAUUUAACUUCUUAGAGUCCUUGUCCUCAGAAGCACUUUCAUCAAGCUCAGAUUUUUCUCUGUACUGCAGAAAUGACCAAGGACUCUUGCCCUGCAUCUUUUCUCCACAUAGGCAGUGGAAACUGAAAAAGCAAUGGCAAGAUCUGCAAUGUAUUUGGGCAGCUCUAGGAUUAUUUUGAUAGCAGGAAGAGCAAUUCUAGCUAGGAUAUCAAAGAAUGACACCAAGUGCUCACAACAUUUAUCUUGUAGUCUCACUGUGCACCGCAUACAUCCUUUGGGACAAAAUCCCCUGGAAAGUUUUCAAGUCUUCCAGUGAAGGAGAUGGUUCUGUCAUUACCAACUCAUUCAGAAAGAUAGAAGAUUCCUGGGCACUAGGAAGAAGAGAAAAGAGGCAAGAGAAGGAAAGCAUUACAGUGGAAUCUCUAUUACCUGCCAUUUGUUUUAGGCCACACAUGCAGCUUAAGACCCUGCAUUGAAUUCAACUCACUAACAACCUCUUUAGUAUUUUUUGCUGGAGAAAGAAGAAAUCCUUAACUCUGGCCAUUCUAUCCAGACCCCUCUCUCAAGGAAGGGUGUAUUUUGUAGUCCUGAGCCUAGUUGAAGCUUUUACACUGGAAGACAUGCACAGGCUCACCACCAUCCCCUAUGCGCAGAGAAGCCACACAGCUUGCUGCACUACCUUGAUUCUGCAGAUGACGAGUGCAGAGUAAGAUAAUGCUAAGUCUAGAACUUUUCCUCUUCCUCUGAGGAAUGGAGCAGCUUUAACAACUGACUUUUUCCCACUUUACUAAAAGCUUCCUUCAAAAGACAGAAAUAAAACAAUGUGUCUUCCCUAAUAAAGCAAACUGGCACUUAACUUUGUUUUUCCUUGGGAACCACAGUACAACAAGUGAAACACUGAAGAAAAAUGGUUGUGUACAUUCCAGCAAAAGGAAUGCAAGUGUUUCACCACUUCUCCCUUUUCUGCUUUGGCCGCCUCAUCUUUUCUUUUAGAUAUUUGAGAGAGCUGAGGCAGAAACAAGUCAUUCUAGAAAACAAACUCACAUAAUAACAGGAGAUUGGGCAAGUACAUUUUAAGAUGUUACGCUCUUUAGCCAAGGGGGUAAGUAACCAGGAGUUGGCUUCUUGUCCACAACACAACAGAGGUGGUAUCUGUGAACUCAGUUUAUUUAAUGUUGCAAUUGAUUAGGAUCAUGCACAAAAGGGAGUGAAAUGGAAAUAUGCUAAUACUAAAUCCAUAUUGCAAUGGGGAAGGGGUGAGGAGAAGCAGUAAGGUGAUCCCACUUGAAAACACUCUUAAAUCCUCUCUCAGCGCCCUAUAGCAAUAUGUGCACAGCCAUUCCUUUAUUUGCCACUGACCACAAAGCACAGGUGUUCUUGCUGCCCACGAGGAAAGUCAGGGCUCAUGUCAUCUUUCUACAUCCUUUGGUCCACACUGCUGCACCCUGCCCUUCAACUGCUCAAAUACAGGCAGACCCGCAAGCAGAAACUGGAAACAACCUAUGUUAGGAAAUCUUCCUCAUGCUAUGUGGCUUGUGAUCAAAACCAAGGAAUUUCUUUGACGGGGUAAAGGGAAGAAUUUAUUUUAAGGAAAUUAUAUUACAGAGGAAACCAGAUUAAUUUUUAAAAAUAAAAAACACAUUCUGAAGGCAAAAAUAUAUUUGCUGUGCAAAAGCCCUGCCUAUACACAAGAGUGCAAUCCUUACAGGACAGAUUGCAUUCACAAGGCUCUUUCAAGAGUGAAAACUUCUACUUGGGCAGCUAAUUCCAAACAGAGAAGUAGUCUGCAAAUGUACACACCAAAAAGAAGUGCUAAUUAAACAAAAGGACUUUACGGCAUUUUAGCCAUUGUCGAAUGAUCUGAAUCUACUGUCUUUCACUGCCACUUUAAUUUCCAAGAUAUUUUGCAAGAUUAAUUAAAGUGUUUGGGAGAUCACGAGGUUAUAAGCAGUUCAGAAAUAAAGACAAUAACUGUCUUAACUGUCACAAACUGACCCCAACAUCAUUAAACACUUGUUGGAAGGCAGCAUGUGCACAUCGCAUACUUACUAUUAGUUGUUCAGCUCAAGCUCCCAGUUUCAUCUCAUAAAACUGACAGCACUCAGGGAAAUGUGAGCACUGGGUUUGAAUUUUAACAUGAGUAUUUAAAUGCUGCACAUAAAGUUUACAGAACUGUUUGUUUUAAAAUAAGGGUAGUGUCUGUCUCUGCUCUAAGUACAGUGAUGAAGAAAAGAAAAAGGAGGGGAGGGAAUUCUCAAGACUUAUUAUUCAGAAACAUAUUUUACAGGAAUUCAGCAAUGCACACACACGUACAUAGGCACACAUGCACUCCUUAGUGCACAAAAGCCUAAAGAAUUGCUUGAUUUAAAGCUUCAUACUUAGAGACCAGUUAUUAAAAUUAGAAUCAUUUUAAGACUAAUAAAUGUUUUGCUUCUCCUUCUGCAUUUGCAGAUAUAAACUCUGCAGGGACAGAAGUCAGUCAAGCUUAUUCCCUUCUGCUGCAACUUUAGAAUACACGCUCUAGCCAACUGGCACAUUUGUUUUUAGGUCAACACUUAAGUGGGACCCUCUGGGACCUAGGUUUGAGUUUAGCCUAUGACAGCUUUUGUGAAAUGAGUUCUGGCAGUCUCAGCCCCUCUUAAUGAAUGUACUUCCACUGUGAUCCACUUCCGUGAAGAGAUGUCACCAUCAAAAUAAAAAUAUAUUUAAAGGGAGAACAUAUCAUUUGAACACUUUGUAAAUGGAUAGCUUUUCCAUCACAAAAACAAGUAUCCUCCAUGAAGAGCUGGUCUAACCUUAAACAGUUACUUAAACUGAGGAUAAGCUGUCUUGUUCGAGCUGCUCUUUUGAAAGAUUAGACUAAAACUUACUUUAUAAAUGCAAUAUGCACUCACCUAUACUUUCUCCUUAACUUCCUGUUCAAAGCUCAUGAUCGCAUACAGGAGCAAAUGUCAUUCAUCUCCCACAUUUCUUUCUUCCUGAUAACUGCAACAAUCACAGCUACAAUUCCCUCAACAAAGACUGUCUUCAUAGUAAGAUUACCUUUCCUAACAUCUGCAAACGCCACUGUCACUUCCAGAGGUUUUCCUGCCCUAUUUCAGAGGCUGUGCACAAACUGAAAUUUGACAAUACAUGUCAGCAACAAUAUAUACAUCAGCUCCGUCUGCAGAGAUCACUGAAAAUUAUCUGGUAUGGAAAGGAGGG
This is a long non-coding RNA of Pezoporus flaviventris, 8458 nucleotides long. RefSeq lists it as uncharacterized. The record is from RefSeq and is a predicted model, not a curated record. NCBI's taxonomy places the organism in Eukaryota, Metazoa, Chordata, Aves, Psittaciformes, Psittacidae. The transcript is spliced from 5 exons.